Octodon degus (degu) is the source of this 602-nucleotide long non-coding RNA. RefSeq lists it as uncharacterized. The record is from RefSeq and is a predicted model, not a curated record. Lineage: Eukaryota; Metazoa; Chordata; Mammalia; Rodentia; Octodontidae. The transcript is spliced from 4 exons.
GUGAUCACAGUUUUUGAGAAUCACAACGAGGCAUUAAAGAAGGGGAGGAGUAUCCCAAGGGAGGAGAACUUGGCUUUCUUGGUCAAGUACCACAGUGAAAACUAACCCCAGGCAGACAGCAUGGACAACAGGAAGAUGGACAAGUGUCAUGCCUCACAGAUCUUACAGAUUCUUCAGCUGCUCAGAUAGAUGUGCUGCAGGGUGAUAGUAAGAUUCUGCAUCUCUGAUCAUCUGAUGUCUUAAGAAUAUUAAGAAGGGCCUGAUUGUUUGAACCUCAGCUUCACCCUGGAGUCUGACACCAAAGGAUGCCUGACAGAGGCAGGCUGCAGUCCACAGCACACAACAGGGAAGAGCAGGAAGGGGCUCAUUCCUGAGGUGGAGCUGCUGCAGAAGGCACCUGAGGUCUCAGAGCUGCACACUGAAGACAGGCUGCGGCUUCACAGAACUUCAGCUCCCUGGAACCUUCCCUGAUAGGGGAGGGUUAAAAAAGGAACGGCUGACCCUAAUGUGCAAACUGCCACAAGCACUUCUUGUGUUUCUAUUAGCGUAAGAUGGCUCGAGGGGGCUGCAAGGCCGAUGUGGUUAAUAUUUCAUUUUUAGGG